This 722-nucleotide ribosomal RNA is filed under the name Penicillium chrysogenum. RNAcentral describes it as "eukaryotic LSU rRNA". The stretch from base 217 to 371 matches the Rfam family "5.8S ribosomal RNA". Lineage: Eukaryota; Fungi; Ascomycota; Eurotiomycetes; Eurotiales; Aspergillaceae. The record is from RNAcentral.
UAACAAGGUUUCCGUAGGUGAACCUGCGGAAGGAUCAUUACCGAGUGAGGGCCCUCUGGGUCCAACCUCCCACCCGUGUUUAUUUUACCUUGUUGCUUCGGCGGGCCCGCCUUAACUGGCCGCCGGGGGGCUUACGCCCCCGGGCCCGCGCCCGCCGAAGACACCCUCGAACUCUGUCUGAAGAUUGUAGUCUGAGUGAAAAUAUAAAUUAUUUAAAACUUUCAACAACGGAUCUCUUGGUUCCGGCAUCGAUGAAGAACGCAGCGAAAUGCGAUACGUAAUGGUGAAUUGCAAAUUCAGUGAAUCAUCGAGUCUUUGAACGCACAAUUGCGCCCCCUGGUAUUCCGGGGGGCAUGCCUGUCCGAGCGUCAUUUCUGCCCUCAAGCACGGCUUGUGUGUUGGGCCCCGUCCUCCGAUCCCGGGGGACGGGCCCGAAAGGCAGCGGCGGCACCGCGUCCGGUCCUCGAGCGUAUGGGGCUUUGUCACCCGCUCUGUAGGCCCGGCCGGCGCUUGCCGAUCAACCCAAAUUUUUAUCCAGGUUGACCUCGGAUCAGGUAGGGAUACCCGCUGAACUUAAGCAUAUCAAUAAGCGGAGGAAAAGAAACCAACAGGGAUUGCCCCAGUAACGGCGAGUGAAGCGGCAAGAGCUCAAAUUUGAAAGCUGGCUCCUUCGGGGUCCGCAUUGUAAUUUGUAGAGGAUGCUUCGGGAGCGGUCCCUAUCU